This 65-nucleotide transfer RNA is filed under the name Paroligoneurus sp. M125. RNAcentral describes it as "tRNA-Asn". The record is from RNAcentral. Lineage: Eukaryota; Metazoa; Arthropoda; Insecta; Hymenoptera; Braconidae. RNAcentral also lists the same sequence under 1 other name.
UUAAUUGAAACCAAAAAGAGGUAAAUUAUUGUUAAUAAUUUUAUUGAAAUAAAUUUCCAAUUAAA